AAAAAAUAUAUGAUACAAAUUCUUCAAUGACCAAAAUAAUAGUAUGUUGUUCUAUCUGACCUUUACUCCAAGUCUUGAUCACCGGUCCGAUUCGAAAUAAAUCCUCAGCAACAAAUUCUGGUGACUCAGGAAAGGAUGUAAUGGAAAUUAUACCCUUGGACAAUGGUUCCAAAAUACCAA
Onthophagus taurus is the source of this 180-nucleotide non-coding RNA. The record is from RefSeq and is a predicted model, not a curated record. NCBI's taxonomy places the organism in Eukaryota, Metazoa, Arthropoda, Insecta, Coleoptera, Scarabaeidae.